RNAcentral lists this long non-coding RNA (610 nucleotides) under Nicotiana tabacum (common tobacco). RNAcentral describes it as "long non-coding RNA (NTAB_LNC008008)". Lineage: Eukaryota; Viridiplantae; Streptophyta; Magnoliopsida; Solanales; Solanaceae. The record is from RNAcentral.
CAGUGGGCAGAGAUUCCAGACUUUCUACUAAAUUCACACUUCCCUUCACCUCUCACACAUACAUUAAACCCUAAUUCACAAAAUCCUAAUCAGUGACAUGGACGCCGCCCAAAAUCCUUUAUGCGCACAAGAAGCACUCGAUCUUCUAAAUUGCACCACUGAGAAACCUUACGAUAAGGAGAAAUGCCAACGUCUGCUCGAAUCCUUGCGCCAAUGCGUCCUUAACAAGGUAAUUAGAAUUGAUUAUGGUGUGAGCCUCUUUUUUUAUUUAAAUAUGUUUAGUGAUGCUUAUUGUUGGUUUUGAUUCUGUUCCUUACUGUUGUUUUUUUAAACACUUGAAUUUUGAUCUGCAUUUUUCACCUUUGGGUGGCUAGUUAGGUGAAUAACUGGAUAAUCCGCCUAGAGGAACUGUAAUUAAGGGUUUUAAAGCAGAAGUUCUUUGUUUUUUUAAACUGAAUUAAGUUAUAACUAUUGCAAGGGGUGGCAUAGCGGUCAAUGAGUUGGAGUGACAACCUUAGGACUCAAGGUUCAAAUUACUAAGGCGACACUGUGAAUUUUCAUGUGCUUAAGCCUUGGUACACAAAGUUGUCGAAUACUUGCUGGAGGGGUG